This 1306-nucleotide ribosomal RNA is filed under the name uncultured bacterium. RNAcentral's name for it is "bacterial SSU rRNA". It matches the Rfam family "Bacterial small subunit ribosomal RNA", at positions 28 to 1381 of the family's 1533-position model. The record is from RNAcentral.
UAUGAACGCUGGCGGCGUGCCUAAUACAUGCAAGUCGAGCGGAAAGGCCUCUUCGGAGGUACUCGAGCGGCGGACGGCAGAGUAACGCGUAGGAACAUACCCCAAACUGAGGGAUAACUGCCCGAAAGGGUGGCUAAUACCGCAUGUGAUCUUCGGAUUAAAGCUUCGGCGGCUUGGGAAUGGCCUGCGUUCGAUUAGCUAGUUGGUGAGGUAAUGGCUCACCAAGGCGACGAUCGAUAACUGGUCUGAGAGGAUGACCAGUCUGACUGGAACUGAGACACGGUCCAGACUCCUACAGGAGGCAGCAGUAGGGAAUUUUCCACAAUGGGCGAAAGCCUGAUGGAGCAACGCCGCGUGCAGGAUGAAGGCCCUUGGGUCGUAAACUGCUUUUAUGUGAGAAGAAUAUGACGGUAACACAUGAAUAAGGGUCGGCUAACUACGUGCCAGCAGCCGCGGUCAUACGUAGGACCCAAGCGUUAUCCGGAAUUACUGGGCGUAAAGAGUUGCGUAGGUGGCAUUAUAAGUGGAGCGUGAAAGCGUGCGGCUCAACCGCAUUACUGCGUUCCAAACUGUAAAGCUUGAGGAUGAGAGAGGUUAUUGGAAUUCCCAGUGUAGGAGUGAAAUCCGUAGAUAUUGGGAGGAACACCGAUGGCGUAGGCAGAUAACUGGCUCAUUCCUGACACUAAGGCACGAAAGCGUGGGGAGCAAACGGGAUUAGAUACCCCGGUAGUCCACGCCGUAAACUAUGGAUGCUAGCUGUUACUCAUAUCGACCUGAGUAGUAGCGAAGUUAACGCGUUAAGCAUCCCGCCUGGGGAGUACGGUCGCAAGAUUAAAACUCAAAGGAAUUGACGGGGACCCGCACAAGCGGUGGAGCGUGUUGUUUAAUUCGAUGGUAAGCGAAGAACCUUACCAAGGCUUGAAAUCCCGAUAGAAAUUUUCCGAAAGGAAAGUUGCAUUUAGUUGGAUCGGUGACAGGUGUUGCAUGGCCGUCGUCAGCUCGUGUCGUGAGAUGUAUGGUUAAGUCCAUUAACGAGCGCAACCCUUAUGUUUAGUUGGAUUUUUCUAAACAGACUGCCCUGGCAACAGGGAGGAAGGGGGGGAUGAUGUCAGGUCAGUAUUACCCUUACGUCUUGGGCUACAAACACGCUACAAUGGCCGGUACAAAGGGCAGCCAACCCGCGAGGGGGAGCAAAUCCCAUCAAAGCCGGUCUCAGUUCGGAUUGCAGGCUGAAACUCGCCUGCAUGAAGCUGGAAUCGCUAGUAACGGUAAGUCAGCACAUUACCGUGAAUACGUUCCCGGGUCU